UGGUUCGGUAGCUCAGCUGGAUAGAGCAACGGUCUUCUAAACCGUGGGUCGUGAGUUCGAAUCUCACCCGAAUCACCAG
Molecule: transfer RNA, 79 nt
Filed under: Lactobacillus jensenii 269-3
Lineage: Bacteria; Bacillati; Bacillota; Bacilli; Lactobacillales; Lactobacillaceae
Description: tRNA-Arg
Rfam family: tRNA
About the family: Transfer RNA (tRNA) molecules are approximately 80 nucleotides in length. Their secondary structure includes four short double-helical elements and three loops (D, anti-codon, and T loops). Further hydrogen bonds mediate the characteristic L-shaped molecular structure. tRNAs have two regions of fundamental functional importance: the anti-codon, which is responsible for specific mRNA codon recognition, and the 3' end, to which the tRNAs corresponding amino acid is attached (by aminoacyl-tRNA synthetases). tRNAs cope with the degeneracy of the genetic code in two manners: having more than one tRNA (with a specific anti-codon) for a particular amino acid; and 'wobble' base-pairing, i.e. permitting non-standard base-pairing at the 3rd anti-codon position.
Source: RNAcentral